Molecule: long non-coding RNA, 5692 nt
Filed under: Hordeum vulgare
Lineage: Eukaryota; Viridiplantae; Streptophyta; Magnoliopsida; Poales; Poaceae
Description: long non-coding RNA (HVUL_LNC014665)
Rfam family: Plant small nucleolar RNA U3 (bases 4-223)
Source: RNAcentral
AGCACGACCUUACUUGAACAGGAUCUGUUCUAUAGGCUCGUACCGCUGCAUCCUUUACCAAUAAGGAGGCAAGCACUUCAGUCUGGUUGAUGCAUUCUAACCUCUAGGCCAGAGCGUGAUUAACUGCCAGGAUUCACCUGAUGGGUCUUAUCCGAUGGCUGUAGAGGAUCGUUCCUGCCCAUACUUGUGUGUGCAGGGUGGCCUAGAGGUUGUCUGACAGACCCAACAACACUUUUUUUGCUUCAAGUUUAGGGUGAAAUCUAUGAAUUUAACCAUCUGAAUUAGCGAACUUUCAGCCAUCUGUCAAGGCUGUGCUGUAGUAAUCCUUUGGGGAUAUGGUUGCUCAUGUCCUCGUAACCCAGAUGCUCCAGCAGUGAUGAUGUUCGUAAAAAGAAUAUUAUUGCUUGCUUGAUUGCUUAAGAGUUUAAAAUGUUAUCAAAAAAAUCAAGUCCAGGAUUAAUGGCCAUAUCAUCAGAAAAAAUCAACUCCAGGAUUAAUGGAGAGAGAGCGCAUAAGUUGGAGGAUUUUGCAAAUUGACAACUGAAACAGAAGUAAUCAUUUGCUUCAACUGUCCUUUGAUGUCUCGGACUUCGUUUUGUGCAGUAGAAACUGUAAUACCGCUGCACAUUUGCUUGCGCAGUUCGAUCUCAAGGCUUCUGUGCCUCUCACCUUUUGGGCAGAUGUUGCCCCUGACUGUGUUGCUUGUCUGGUGACCAGCGAGAUUGCUAGGAGCCAAGCCUGAGUGGAAUGGGUCUUAUUCCUUUUAAGAAAACUGAAUUCCUUCCUUUGCACCAUGCCGCUUUUUCUUCAGUCUGUCUCUCAAUUAGCAGUAGCCAGAUAAAAAAUUGUUGACCUGGCAGGAACAGUAGGUGGUUUGCCUACUGCAAGUAUGCUCAGUAAGGAAAACACUUGUUGACCUGGCAGUGCAAUUCAGAACAAGAUUUUCUUUGGUUGUGGAAGACUGAGUUCAGCUUUUCUUUCAACAGUUCCAUGCAUCUGUACCAGAAGCAUACAUACCUACUUCAACACUUUCAUUGAGCAUAUAUCAUGUCAUCGUAUACUCUACCUAGAAAUUUUUUCUACAAAAACUGAAAACAAGCCGCGUAGAUGCACCAAACAAUUAAAUGCAUAGAUCCAAGGAAAGUUAUCCAUGCAUUGGCCAUAAGUUCUAACCAAUUAUAUUACAUCAGUUUGAAGCAGGGGUUUCAUCCAUAUAAUGAGAGAAGAACGAAUGCAUGACAAAUGUUGGCCUAUUUUAAUAUGUAUUGCUCUUAUCUUGAAAAAAUAAAUGCAAUGCCAUUUCUUGAAGAGCAAACCGUUUCUUUUCUUUUAGAUAGUGGAUGAUUUUUUUUGCCUCAAUCCUUUUUCUUGCAAGAGCCUAAAUCUAUUAAUUAAGAGAGAGUGUCACGAACAUAGGGAACAACAACAAGGCCGCGAUGAAAAUAAAAAGACAACUCUCCUGGCCGCCCCCAUAGACCGAUUGUUGAACACCUAGCGUUGCGCUCGUUUUAAACCUCCCAAGAGAUAAGCAUGAUUAAGAAGUAAAUGGCUUUCUUGUGAGGUCUACCUUGAAGCGCAAGGGCCGACCACCGCUCCACAACAUCUCUCAUUUCACUCCAAUCGCUUGAAUGAAGGUAAAAAAACGAUGAUCAAGACUUUUUUUUUACAGAAGACCAUCAUGACUAGGUUUAUUGAAAUUGAAAUAAUAAUUACAUCAGUUGAGAUUGCUCAAGUAGGAAGUUUGGAGGAUCAUCGCGCCCAUAACUAGAAAUCUUAUUAAAAAAAACUAAACUUUGCUAGCUCAUUAGCCACUACAUCAACUCUUCUAUUACAAUGCUUGAACUUGACCUUCCGAAUUAAAUUUGCAACAUCAAGACAUUUAGCCUAAAUAGCUGCCGCCGAAUCCCAUCACUGAGAUCGGCCAUUGCAGAAACCAAGACCAAGACUUGGAAAGAGGGUGCCCUUUGGAAAUGUCCAAUAGAGGCCGGGCUAGAAGGAGUCCGUUUUGAAAAUAUCAUAUAUUCAUAGCCCAAAAAGAUCCGGAUUUGGUGUGCAGCGGCAUGAUAAUUCAUUUCAGGUUUUCUUUAGGGAGGCUUCGCAUGGUGAAGUAGAAAUUCAUUGAUGUUCCUUUCUAGCUAGAUAAAACUAGCAUCUCUCUUCACUAAAAAAAGAGAUCACUUUUUUUGAACGAUUAAAAAAUAUUUUUUUGUUAAAAAAGCUUUUAGGGGUUUAAACUUUUAUUAUGAUUUAUAAAAAUGUAUAUGAUUUAUAAAAAAAUGUUUACUAUUUUUCAAAGAAUUACCACGAAUUUAAAGAUGUUCACAAAUAAAAAAUAAGUUAAGUAAAUAAGACAUAAGUAAAAAAGGGAAAAAAGCGGAUGAAAGAAUGCCCUAUGAAAACCUAAAAAACCCAGUAGAAAAAUACUUCCUCCGUUUUUAAAUAUAAGUUUUUUUAAAGGUUUCACUUAAGCCCUACAUACGGAUGUAUAUAGACACAAUUUAGAGUGUACAUUCACUCAUUUUGCUUGGUAUGUACUCCCUCCGUUCCUAAAUAUAAGUUUUUCUAGAGAUUCCACUAGUAGACUACAUACGAAUGUGUAUAGAUAUAAUUUAGAGUGUAAAUUCAUUCAUUUUGCUUCGUAUGUAGACUUUUAAUAAAAUAUCUUAAAAGACUUAUAUUUAGGAACGGAGGGAGUAGUUGUCUAGUGAAAUUUCUAAAAGGACUUAGGUACGGAGGGAGUAGAAAAGGAAGUUGAGAAAUAAACGUUUUUUUUUAGAAACAGUUGAGAUUUGAGAAGUAACCUAGAGAAAAAGAGAAAGAGAAGAAAGAUAGCACCUGAAGCUCCCGAUUGGCCCAUCAUAGCUCCCCAGUUCAGUUGAGAAAUACCCUAGAGAAAAAAGAGUAGAUUUUGGGAUGGUGAACAUGGAAAUUUCUAUUUUGUCACUCCGGCAAGUAGUCGGGCAACAGGCAGAUCGACUAGCAUUCGGAUGGGCCGGUCCGUUCAAACGUUUCGGCCAAUUCCGGUUUUGAGAAUCUUCUUGGUGGUUCCUCGCCGUUUUUUUUUCUGGUUUUGGGAACCUUCUAGGAGGUUACUAAAACGGUUUUUCUAUUUCGGAUUUUUCUACUUUUUGUUUCUUUUCUUUUUCAUUUUUCUAUUUUUUCCUUUUCUUUGCUCUUUGGUUUUUUAUUUUCCAUGUUUCUUUUCUUUGAAAACUUUAUAUAUUUAUUCGGAAUUUUAUAACAUGUUCCUGUUUUCAAAAAUUGCAUCCAAUUUGAGAAAUGUUCAGGAAUUUAAAAACUCUUCUUAUUUUUAAAGUUUGUUUAGAAUUUCAAAAAAUGUUCAUGUUUCAAAAUAUCUUUCAGGAAUUUGAAAAAAUGUUCCUGUUUACAAUUGUUGUUCACAAUUUCAAAAAAUGCUCGUCUUUAAAAAAAUGUACUUGUUUUUCAUUUUUGUUAUGUUCAUGUUUUGAAAAAUUAUUCAGGAAUUAAAAAAACUGUUCUCGUUUUCAAAUUCUGGUUAGAAUGUCAUUCAUAAAAUGUUCAUGUUUCAGAAACGUACAAGAUUUUCAAAAUAUGUUUUCACUUUAAAAAUAUGUUCAGACUUUCAGAAAAAUGUUCUUCUUUCAAAAAAAUGUUUAGGAAUUUCGGAAAAUGUUUCUUGUUUCGUAAAAUUCAUUGUGUUAGAAUAUGUUCGAUUUUUUCGAAUUUUUUCUUGUUUUUUGUAAACUCGUCUUACAAGAAUGUUCUCAUUUUUCAGACAAAAAUACAGUACAUUUUUUCAAAACUGUUCAUUGCCAUUACGUUUUUGUUAAUGCCACAUUUUCUCAAUUCAAGAACUUUCUCGGAAUAUGAUGAACAUUUUUGAAUCUGAGAACUUUUUUGCAAUUUAAAGAAAAACUUUUCAAUUGACGAACAAUUUUGACGGCGUUGAAAAUUUUGUGAAUUGAAAGAACUAAUUGUGUGUUUCUUUUUUGAUUGAUUGCAAGGUUUUGUUGGUAGCUUACCAAGCUAGCUGCUUGGUAAUUGUGUGUUUCUCGUAUCAAUGAAACAACGCCAAGAACUUGCUUUUAUUCCUAUUUUGUUUUUCUGUUCGUGUCUUGUAGCUGUAUUUCUCAGAAUAAAUCGAACAACCAAAAAAGAAAUUGGAGCGAAGAAAUGAGCUCACCUGGCCUGCCACUGAGACGCUCUGGGCCCGCCAGUGGGAUGCUUUGUGCGAAGCGACUCCUCUUUGAAGCAAAGAGUGUCAUAUAGACGCUCCCGGCGAACAUUCUAGGAAAACCCUAUAGACGCUCCGGUUCUGUUUCUUCCUCUUCUUUAUUCAUGUGUCGCCUCUUUAUUAUUUUUGUUUUCCUCUUUUUUCUGUUUCUUUCUUUUCAUUUCUUGUCUUUUCGGUUUCCUUUUUUGUUUAUUUCCCUUUUCCCUUUUCAAGUUCACUUACAUUUGAAAAAAUUGUUUGAGAAUUACAAACUUUGUUCGAUUUUUUUUGUAUUUAUGAAAUGUUUGAGAAUUUGGAAAAAUAUGUAUGUAUUUUAUAAAAUGUUCAGUUUGAAAAAAACUUAUGUUUUAGUUUUUAUUCACAAAUACAAAAAUGUGCAUGUUUGUAAGGAAAUAUUUGGCAUUUUAUAAAAAACGUCUGCUUUUAAUACGUUAUUCAGAAUUCAAAAUUUGCUCACAAAUAUGGAAACUAUUUGUGUUUAUUUUUUGUUUGCUCCAAAAGGACUAAAAAUCAGUUGAAGUAUUUCAUAUUCAAAAAUUGAAAAUGUGGGGGUAGGAGUUGGAUUUUGCCAAACAAAGGAUAAUAGAAAAUAAUUAAAUAGAAGUAUAGCAGGCAUAAUAUCCACAAUUGGAUUGAAAAUAGCAUAAGCUUCGGGUUGGAAGUUGCAGCAAGUAGUUUUCUCACUGGAGUACUUUUGGACACCAGAGCCGAGUCAACAAAGGUUUACUAAUUGAACAAAAAGAGUCCAAUUAACUAUCUUCCAUGAAGGGUCUAAUUCAAAAAAGGUGUAAUAAUUAAUUCAACCAAAGUAGGCAGUAACAAAAAGAGUCUACUCUAAUUUAGCUAACUUUUGGCAUUGCUCAAGGCCAUUCCGCAUUUCUGAGAUAACUUCGACAGUUGAUUGCAACAAAAAGGAAAUGAGAACCCAAGGAAAGCACGCGAGAGACAAAUAUUUUUCAGAUGGGGUGCGCUACUUUUCUUCUGCUGCGCUACUGGGCUUUCCUCAUCCUCCUUCCAAAAACAGACCGAGGAAGCGCUGCUGCAUGCCGCUGCAAUUAGUCCCACCUCGCUAGUUUAGGUGACGCUAAACCAGUUUAUAAGGCUAAACGCGGCUGUUUGUGGCACGACCUUACUUGAACAGGAUCUGUUCUAUAGGCUCGUACCGCUGCAUCCUUUACCAAUAAGGAGGCAAGCACUUCAGUCUGGUUGAUGCAUUCUGACCUCUAGACUAGAGCGUGAUUAACUGCCAGGAUUCACCUGAUGGGUGUUAUCCGACGGCUGUAGAGGAUCGUUCCUGCCUACUCUAGUGUGUGCAGGGUGGCCUAGAGGUUGUCUGACAGACUCCAUAACACUUUUUUAAGUUUGCUUUUCAGCUCCUUUUGGCUAUUUAAAAUAGAUUCAGUUGACGUUUAAGUACCCAAUGCAGCUGUAAGAAUAGAUUCAGUUGUUCUUAAAUUUAGUAGCGUUCAUCAAGGC